RNAcentral lists this long non-coding RNA (519 nucleotides) under Brassica rapa (field mustard). RNAcentral's name for it is "long non-coding RNA (BRAP_LNC006419)". Lineage: Eukaryota; Viridiplantae; Streptophyta; Magnoliopsida; Brassicales; Brassicaceae. The record is from RNAcentral.
UAAUUUUAGGCCAAAGCAUUUGUGGGUGUCUUCAUCACAAAUACCAAACUGAAUUAUAAUAAUUUCUUCUUUCUAAUUGUUGAAAAUUUUAAAGCAUCAAUCAAAUCUUAUACGAUCCGUUUCAUACCAAUUAUCUUUAUAAUGACUGAUGUAUUAUAAAAUAGUCAUAACAAAAAAAUAUAAAUAGUAAACAGUACGAUGACAAAAAAAAAAACAAUAAAUGCAAAAAGUUUUAUUUAUAUAUCCAAAGAAAUAGAAUAUGACUUCUACCCCUCUAAUAAGUAAUAACUAAAUACGAAAUUCCGGUUAUGUUAAUUGAUUUGAUUCUCAAUUCACGUGAACAAAUGGAGUUUGCUGUGAAGUUUCGGAUUUAGCUGGAGGAGAGUUCAUAAACACAAGGUCAAUGUUAGUCUUGAAAAUGCACGUGGGACGUUGUAUUGUUGUAGCGAUUGUUGAGUUCUGGUUCACAAUAAAUAAAAAGGUUAGUUUCUGGCACUUGACACAGAUCUUGUAAACGAG